RNAcentral lists this ribosomal RNA (253 nucleotides) under uncultured prokaryote. RNAcentral's name for it is "partial 16S ribosomal RNA". It matches the Rfam family "Bacterial small subunit ribosomal RNA", at positions 523 to 775 of the family's 1533-position model. The record is from RNAcentral.
AUACAGAGGGUGCAAGCGUUAAUCGGAAUUACUGGGCGUAAAGCGUGCGUAGUCGGCUUUUUAAGUCGGGUGUGAAAUCCCCGGGCUCAACCUGGGAAUUGCAUUCGAUACUGGAUAGCUAGAGUUCGGCAGAGGGAAGUGGAAUUUCUGGUGUAGCGGUGAAAUGCGUAGAUAUCAGAAGGAACAUCAGUGGCGAAAGCGACUUCCUGGACCAGAACUGACGAUCAGGCACGAAAGCGUGGGGAGCAAACAG